This 254-nucleotide ribosomal RNA is filed under the name uncultured bacterium. Its description in RNAcentral is "partial 16S ribosomal RNA". It matches the Rfam family "Bacterial small subunit ribosomal RNA", at positions 524 to 776 of the family's 1533-position model. The record is from RNAcentral.
UACGUAGGGUGCAAGCGUUAAUCGGAAUUACUGGGCGUAAAGCGCACGUAGGCGGACCAUCAAGUCGGUUGUGAAACUCCCUCGGCUUAACCGAGGACGUGCAUUCGAAACUGAUGGCCUUGAGUUCGAAAGAGGAUCGCGGAAUUCCCGGUGUAGAGGUGAAAUUCGUAGAUAUCGGGAGGAACACCAGUGGCGAAGGCGGCGAUCUGGGUCGAAACUGACGCUGAGGUGCGAAAGCGUGGGGAGCAAACAGG